This is a non-coding RNA of Nothobranchius furzeri (turquoise killifish), 481 nucleotides long. Lineage: Eukaryota; Metazoa; Chordata; Actinopteri; Cyprinodontiformes; Nothobranchiidae. The record is from RefSeq and is a predicted model, not a curated record.
ACUUUUUAUUGAUUUAUUUAAGCCUUUGUGAUUGUUUGUCAAUAUUAAAGUCGCUAUCUGCUUUCUGCACAAAACUGUCGAAUUUGCAGCUUUGGUUAAGUCUGCUGUGGUUACUGGACAUGUGGUAUUUGGACAACACUUCUGAAUCCGCAGCUUCGGUGUUUUAAGGCUGUUUCGGUAUGGAGAAGAAGUGGGAAGAGAUUUACACAUUCAUUUCUGCGGGCUCCUACCCUUCAGGAUAUGACAAGGCUCAGAGGCAAAACCUCAGAAGAUAUGCCUCAAAAUUCAAACAAAAGGAUGGAGAACUCUUUGUUGGAACCAGAAGAGUAGUAAAAACCAUGGAUGAUGCCAGGAAGAUCUUUCAUGAGUUUCAUUCAUCUCCAGUCGGAGGACACACUGGCACACACAAAACGCUAAAUGCAGUGUGUUCCAGAGUUUACUGGUUUGGUAUGACAGUUGACAUUAAAUUUCUUUUUCAGUU